RNAcentral lists this ribosomal RNA (253 nucleotides) under uncultured bacterium. RNAcentral's name for it is "partial 16S ribosomal RNA". It matches the Rfam family "Bacterial small subunit ribosomal RNA", at positions 524 to 776 of the family's 1533-position model. The record is from RNAcentral.
UACGAGGGGGGCUAGCGUUGCUCGGAAUCACUGGGCGUAAAGCGCACGUAGGCGGCUUUUUAAGUCAGGGGUGAAAUCCUGGAGCUCAACUCCAGAACUGCCUUUGAUACUGGGAAGCUCGAGUCCGGGAGAGGUGAGUGGAACUCCGAGUGUAGAGGUGAAAUUCGUAGAUAUUCGGAAGAACACCAGUGGCGAAGGCGGCUCACUGGCCCGGUACUGACGCUGAGGUGCGAAAGCGUGGGGAGCAAACAGG